Homo sapiens (human) is the source of this 671-nucleotide long non-coding RNA. Lineage: Eukaryota; Metazoa; Chordata; Mammalia; Primates; Hominidae. The record is from Ensembl.
ACAUUACAUUACAUUACAGCUCUACAAUGCACCAGACGGACCCAUCUGGAUUCUUUCGGGGCUCUUAGCCCUAGAAAUAGCAUCAUUUCUUCAAACUGGUGAGUCCUCCUGUCUAAAAUCAGGAUGCAGAGAGUUGAUGCACGGCAUGGCACAGGAUGCUGGGCAAGGCUGGCAGGCCCGGGAGAGCCUGUGGCCAGCCUGGGUCCAGGAAGUGGGCAGCUGCCACAGAGGGGCCUCCGAGGCUAGCUGCCUCCUAACUUCCUCACGGCACACCAUUCUGCCGUCCUGAGUCUUCUCAAGGUUGGAAGGUGCCCAGAUCCAGGGAGAUGGUGCUGGCUCUUUGGUGGCUGUGGAGUGUCCAGACAGAUGAGCUGGAAUCCUUCAGUUUCUCUGCCUCUCCUGUCAAGUUGGGGUAGCACUGCUUGGACUCUUGCCCCGGCUGCAUUGACCAAGCCUUGAUGUUGCCUUGACCAAGCCUUGAUGUUGCCUUCUUUGCCAAACCACUGGCCACGAUGUUGCUGGCACAGCAGCCCAAAGGCAGCUGCUUGUCCAUCUCAGCCUGACCCAGCCUUCAUGCGGGCUCCAUCUCAGCCAUUGUAAAGCAAGCUCCUAGUUCUAGUUCUCCCCCACAAAUUUUAUUGCUAAAUAAACAAUUAAGCUACCCCUUUAAA